Long non-coding RNA from Uranotaenia lowii, 609 nucleotides. RefSeq lists it as uncharacterized. The transcript has 2 exons. NCBI's taxonomy places the organism in Eukaryota, Metazoa, Arthropoda, Insecta, Diptera, Culicidae. The record is from RefSeq and is a predicted model, not a curated record.
UAGGUUUUGUACAAGAUUGCACAUUUAGUUUAGAGUUCAGAUAUUUUUAAAUUUUAAAUUUGCUAAGAAAUUCUUUUGAAACUAAUUUACACACAAAAUUUCUGGGCCUUCACUUAGCAAAAAUAGUCGGUUACUUCCAGUUAGCAAAAAAAAAAUUUUGCCAUCGACUUAGCAAAAUGCUGAAUUAGCUUGUUUUUGAGUAAAACCGAAGUUUGGUAGCCGCCUGGUAGCCGUUUUGCCGCCGCCAACCGUUUCCAAACAAAUCAAACAAACGGAAGUGUAGUGCGGUUGCGGAGUUCGCUGCUGUCGUUGGCUUUUGUGGCCUAAUCGACUUCCAAAUGGUGAACAAUUCGACACAGGUUUUCGCUGCCGGCAAACAUAACGACAAUAUAAGGAUGAUCGCCGGAAAAGAUGUCAAGUGCUAGCAUUAAAUUUACAUGUUCGAAACCCACCAGGAACUGAAAUCAGCCCGACGGCCGCCACUUCGGAACAAACCGAAAAGAUCAAAUGGAAUUCCACAACCCAGUCAAAGUGAAAGUGAAAAUAUGUUAGUAGUGAUGACGUGAAAUGCAUGAAAGUUUCCUAAAAAUAAAUAGAAGUAUAAAAUAA